AGUGAACGCUGGCGGUAGGCCUAACACAUGCAAGUCGAACGGCAGCACAGUAAGAGCUGGCGCUUACGUGUGUCGAGUGGCGGACGGUGGAGGAAUACAUCGGAAUCUACUUUUUCGGGGGGGAUAACGUAGGGAAACUUACUCUAAUACCGCAUACAACCUACGGGUGAAAGCAGGGGAUCGUCUGACCUGUCGCGAGGGUAUGAGCCGAUGUCGGAUUAGCUAGAUAGCGGGUUAAAGGCCCACCAAGGCGACGAUCGGUAUCUGGUCUGAGAGGAAGAUACGACACCCUGGAACUGAGACACGGUCCAGACUCCUACGGGAGGCAGCAGUGGGGAAUAUUGGAGAAGGGGGGAAAGCCUGAUACAGCAAUACCGCGUGGGUGAAGAAGCACUUCGGGUUGUAAAGCCAUUUUGUUGGGAAAGAAAAGAAGCAGGUUAACCCCCCGUUGUUCUGACGGUACCCAAAGAAUAAGCACCGGCUAACUUCGUG
Molecule: ribosomal RNA, 492 nt
Filed under: uncultured bacterium
Lineage: Bacteria
Description: partial 16S ribosomal RNA
Rfam family: Bacterial small subunit ribosomal RNA
Source: RNAcentral